CCUACGGGUGGCAGCAGUGAGGAAUAUUGGUCAAUGGGCGAGAGCCUGAACCAGCCAAGUCGCGUGAAGGAUGACGGCCCUACGGGUUGUAAACUUCUUUUGUCAGGGAGCAAUUUGGUCCACGCGUGGGCUUAGCGAGAGUACCUGAAGAAAAAGCAUCGGCAAACUCCGUGCCAGCAGCCCCGUUAAUACGGGGGAUGCGAGCGUUAUCCGGUUUUAUGGGGUUAAAAGGGUGCGUAGGCGGAAGAUCAAGUCAGCGGUAAAAAUUCGGGGCCAAACCGCGUCGUGCCGUUGAAACUGAUGUUCUUGAGUGGGCGAGAAGUAUGCGGAAUGCGUGGUGUAGCGGUGAAAUGCAUAGAUAUCACGAAGAACUCCGAUUGCGAAGGCAGCAUACCGGAGCGCAACUGACGCUGAAGCACGAAAGCGUGGGUAUCGAACAGGAUUAGAUACCCCAGUAGUC
This 460-nucleotide ribosomal RNA is filed under the name uncultured bacterium. RNAcentral's name for it is "partial 16S ribosomal RNA". It matches the Rfam family "Bacterial small subunit ribosomal RNA", at positions 338 to 795 of the family's 1533-position model. The record is from RNAcentral.